This 371-nucleotide ribosomal RNA is filed under the name uncultured bacterium. RNAcentral's name for it is "bacterial SSU rRNA". It matches the Rfam family "Bacterial small subunit ribosomal RNA", at positions 525 to 896 of the family's 1533-position model. The record is from RNAcentral.
ACGUAGGGUGCAAGCGUUAAUCGGAAUUACUGGGCGUAAAGCGUGCGCAGGCGGUUAUUCAAGACAGAUGUGAAAUCCCCGGGCUCAACCUGGGAACUGCAUUUGUGACUGGAUGGCUAGAGUGCGGCAGAGGGGGAUGGAAUUCCGCGUGUAGCAGUGAAAUGCGUAGAUAUGCGGAGGAACACCGAUGGCGAAGGCAAUCCCCUGGGCCUGCACUGACGCUCAUGCACGAAAGCGUGGGGAGCAAACAGGAUUAGAUACCCUGGUAGUCCACGCCCUAAACGAUGUCAACUGGUUGUUGGGAGGGUUCCUUCUCAGUAACGUAGCUAACGCGUGAAGUUGACCGCCUGGGGAGUACGGCCGCAAGGUUG